Molecule: ribosomal RNA, 460 nt
Filed under: uncultured bacterium
Lineage: Bacteria
Description: partial 16S ribosomal RNA
Rfam family: Bacterial small subunit ribosomal RNA
Source: RNAcentral
CCUACGGGCGGCAGCAGUGAGGAAUAUUGGUCAAUGGGCGGAAGCCUGAACCAGCCAAGUCGCGUGAGGGAUGAAGGCCCUGCGGGUCGUAAACCUCUUUUGUCGGGGAGCAGUUGUCCGGACGCGUCCGGGCCGGGAGAGUACCCGGAGAAAAAGCAUCGGCUAACUCCGUGCCAGCAGCCGCGGUAAUACGGAGGAUGCGAGCGUUAUCCGGAUUUAUUGGGUUUAAAGGGUGCGUAGGCGGGCAUUUAAGCCGGCGGUCAAAUGUCGGGGCUCAACCCCGGCCUGCCGUCGGAACUGGGUGCCUUGAGUGGGCGAGAAGUAUGCGGAAUGCGUGGUGUAGCGGUGAAAUGCAUAGAUAUCACGCAGAACCCCGAUUGCGAAGGCAGCAUACCGGCGCCCUACUGACGCUGAGGCACGAAAGUGCGGGUAUCGAACAGGAUUAGAUACCCUUGUAGUC